Styela clava is the source of this 360-nucleotide non-coding RNA. Lineage: Eukaryota; Metazoa; Chordata; Ascidiacea; Stolidobranchia; Styelidae. The record is from RefSeq and is a predicted model, not a curated record.
GGAAUAUUACACGAUAUACUUGACUAUAGAACUGAUAGAAUGCAGAUUACAAAAUAGAAGAACAAUCAAUUAAGUGGGAAGACCCUAGGACCGAUCCAGCACUCGAAAGCACAUUGACAGAAGGAAAGGAUCCUAAAAAAGUUGCAGUGUGAAGAUUUAUGCUGUGUGAUCAAAGCAGUGAGCAAGAAUAUAAAUUGACUGAUGGGUGAUGCUUUAUCUCAAAAAUCAGAAUUAGCUCACACCAUAUCGAUGAAAAUGUUCGGUGGAGCAACUAGAACUGUCAGCAAAAAAAGAAAUGUGACGGCUGGAAACUCACUUUUGAAGAAUGAUUUGCUCACCAAAUGGGGUUUUGGCAUGAAA